GUUCCUGGCUCAGGAUGAACGCUAGCUACAGGCUUAACACAUGCAAGUCGAGGGGAAACGACAUCGAAAGCUUGCUUUUGAUGGGCGUCGACCGGCGCACGGGUGAGUAACGCGUAUCCAACCUGCCCAUCACUUGGGAAUAACCUUGCGAAAGUAAAGACUAAUGCCCAACUGACAUCCCACCGAAGGACGAUCCGAACUAGGGAGUUAAAGAAUUUAUUCGGUGGAUGGAGUGGGGAGGUGCGUCUGAUUAG
RNAcentral lists this ribosomal RNA (254 nucleotides) under uncultured bacterium. Its description in RNAcentral is "partial 16S ribosomal RNA". It matches the Rfam family "Bacterial small subunit ribosomal RNA", at positions 15 to 244 of the family's 1533-position model. The record is from RNAcentral.